Molecule: ribosomal RNA, 239 nt
Filed under: uncultured Anaerolineaceae bacterium
Lineage: Bacteria; Bacillati; Chloroflexota; Anaerolineae; Anaerolineales; Anaerolineaceae
Description: partial 16S ribosomal RNA
Rfam family: Bacterial small subunit ribosomal RNA
Source: RNAcentral
GACGUGCCGGUAAAAAGACCGGAGGAAGGUGAGGAUGAUGUCAAGUCAGCAUGACCUUUGUAUCCAGGGCUACACACACGCUACGAAUGGUCUGUACAAUGGGUAGCCAAGCCGCGAGGCGGAGCCAAUCCUGAAAGCAGGCCUCAGUUCAGAUUGCAGUCUGCAACUCGACUGCAUGAAGCCGGAGUUGCUAGUAACCGCAGGUCAGCAAUACUGCGGUGAAUACGUUCCCGGGUCUU